AACGAACGCUGGCGGCGCGUCUUAAGCAUGCAAGUCGAGCGGUAUGGAGAAGCUUGCUUCUCCAGAGAGCGGCGGACUGGUGAGUAACACGUGGGUGACCUACCCUUAGGAUGGGGAUAGCCACUAGAAAUAGUGGGUAAUACCGAAUGUGGUUGCGAGACUGUGGUCUUGCAAAGAAAGGAGCUACGGCUCCGCCUGAGGAUGGGCCCGCGUCCCAUUAGCUAGUUGGUGAGGUAACGGCCCACCAAGGCGAUGAUGGGUAGCCGGCCUGAGAGGGUGAACGGCCACACUGGGACUGAGAUACGGCCCAGACUCCUACGGGAGGCAGCAGCUAAGAAUAUUCCGCAAUGGACGAAAGUCUGACGGAGCGACGCCGCGUGGAUGAAGAAGGCCGAAAGGUUGUAAAAUCCUUUUGUCGAUGAAGAAUAAGCAUGGGAGGAAUGCCCGUGUGAUGACGUUAGUCGGCGAAUAAGCCCCGGCUAACUUACGUGCC
RNAcentral lists this ribosomal RNA (493 nucleotides) under uncultured bacterium. RNAcentral's name for it is "bacterial SSU rRNA". It matches the Rfam family "Bacterial small subunit ribosomal RNA", at positions 29 to 509 of the family's 1533-position model. The record is from RNAcentral.